GCCGUAAGGCGGAGUCUGAAAAGAAGUUGAAUGUGGGGGCUGAAAAGUGCCCCUACCGGCAAAGCCACGGUCUGACGAACAAAAACUACCUAUUAGGCGUUUUGAAACGGAUGUGCCCGCACAACAGAACGAAGUUCAAUACCAACCGAGUUUCAAGUUCUAACGGUAGUAGACCGGGGAGAAGG
This 185-nucleotide non-coding RNA is filed under the name pig gut metagenome. The record is from RNAcentral.